UGGGGAAUAUUGCGCAAUGGGGGAAACCCUGACGCAGCGACGCCGCGUGUGGGAUGAAGGUCUUCGGAUUGUAAACCACUGUCGCGAGGGACGAAGCUCUGACGGUACCUCGAAAGGAAGCACCGGCUAACUCUGUGCCAGCAGCCGCGGUAAUACAGAGGGUGCGAGCGUUGUCCGGAAUCACUGGGCGUAAAGGGCGCGUAGGCGGCCCGGUAAGUAGGGGGUGAAAUCUCAUGGCUCAACUGUGAGGCUGCCUUCUAGACUGCCAGGCUUGAGCACAGUAGAGGCGAGUGGAAUUCCCGGUGUAGCGGUGGAAUGCGUAGAGAUCGGGAGGAACAUCGGUGGCGAAGGCGGCCAGCUGGGCCGUUGCUGACGCUGAGGCACGAAAGCGUGGGGAGCGAACAGGAUUAGAUACCCCCGUAGUCCCUGAGCGGGCUGGCAAGGCGCAU
Molecule: ribosomal RNA, 449 nt
Filed under: uncultured bacterium
Lineage: Bacteria
Description: bacterial SSU rRNA
Rfam family: Bacterial small subunit ribosomal RNA
Source: RNAcentral